RNAcentral lists this ribosomal RNA (1673 nucleotides) under marine metagenome. RNAcentral describes it as "bacterial LSU rRNA". It matches the Rfam family "Bacterial large subunit ribosomal RNA", at positions 810 to 2467 of the family's 2925-position model. The record is from RNAcentral.
UGUGGAUCGGAGUGAAAGGCUAAUCAAGCCUGGAGAUAGCUGGUUCUCCGCGAAAUCUAUUUAGGUAGAGCGUCAUGUCUCACCACUGGGGGUAGAGCACUGUUUCGGCUAGGGGGCCAUCCCGGCUUACCAACCCGAUGCAAACUCCGAAUACCAGUGAGUGCAAUCAUGGCAGACACACGGCGGGUGCUAACGUCCGUCGUGAAGAGGGAAACAACCCAGACCGCCAGCUAAGGUCCCUAAAUCACAGUUAAGUGGGAAACGAUGUGGGAAGGCACAGACAGCUAGGAGGUUGGCUUAGAAGCAGCCAUCCUUUAAAGAAAGCGUAAUAGCUCACUAGUCGAGUCGGCCUGCGCGGAAGAUUUAACGGGGCUAAACUGUGUACCGAAGCUGCGGGUGCGUAUUUAUACGCGCGGUAGCGGAGCGUUCUGUACGCCUGUGAAGGUGUGUCGUAAGGCAUGCUGGAGGUAUCAGAAGUGCGAAUGCUGACAUGAGUAACGAUAAGGGGGGUGAAAAACCCCCCCGCCGGAAGACCAAGGUUUCCUGCGCAACGUUAAUCGGCGCAGGGUAAGUCGGCCCCUAAGGCGAGGCGGAAACGCGUAGUCGAUGGGAAGCAGGUUAAUAUUCCUGCACUUACAAUUAUUGCGAUGGAGGGACGGAGAAGGCUAGGCCAGCGCGGCGUUGGUUGUCCGCGUUUAAGCAAGUAGGCUGGGAGUUUAGGUAAAUCCGGACUCCUAAGGCUGAGAUGUGAUGACGAACCGAGUCUUUGUACUCGGAAAGUGGUUGAUGCCAUGCUUCCAGGAAAAGCUUCUAAGCUUCAGAUAAUUGUGAACCGUACCCCAAACCGACACAGGUGGUCAGGUAGAGAAUACCAAGGCGCUUGAGAGAACUCGGGUAAAGGAACUAGGCAAAAUGGCACCGUAACUUCGGGAGAAGGUGCGCCGCUUUUGGUGAUGGGACUUGCUCCCUAAGCUGAGGGCGGUCGAAGAUACCAGGUAGCUGCGACUGUUUAUUAAAAACACAGCACUCUGCAAACUCGUAAGAGGAAGUAUAGGGUGUGACGCCUGCCCGGUGCCGGAAGGUUAAUUGAUUGGGUUAGCUUCGGCGAAGCUCAUGAUCGAAGCCCCGGUAAACGGCGGCCGUAACUAUAACGGUCCUAAGGUAGCGAAAUUCCUUGUCGGGUAAGUUCCGACCUGCACGAAUGGCGUAACGAUGGCUACACUGUCUCUACCCGAGACUCAGUGAAAUUGAAUUUGCGGUUAAGAUGCCGUAUACCCGCGGCUAGACGGAAAGACCCCGUGCACCUUUACUACAGCUUUGCACUGGACUUUGAUUUUAUCUGUGUAGGAUAGGUGGGAGACUAUGAAGCAGUCACGCUAGUGAUUGUGGAGUCGACCUUGAAAUACCACCCUGAUAACGUUGAGGUUCUAACUUCGACCCGUAAUCCGGGUUAAGGACAGUGUAUGGUGGGUAGUUUGACUGGGGCGGUCUCCUCCCAAAGAGUAACGGAGGAGCGCGAAGGUACCCUCAGCAUGGUCGGAAAUCAUGCGAUGAGUGCAAUGGCAUAAGGGUGCUUGACUGCGAGACAGACACGUCGAGCAGGUACGAAAGUAGGUCAUAGUGAUCCGGUGGUUCUGUAUGGAAGGGCCAUCGCUCAACGGAUAAAAGGUACU